ACAACCCCUCAGCUAACGCUGGUUUUGAACCGGGACAGGUUAAACACCCGCACCGGUUUUAAAGUUGUAAGCUCUGCUGGCUGCUCUGCCCCAACCGGAACAUAGUAAAAACACUACUUGUUAAGGCGAGGCGAAGCGGUACGGCCUGAACAAAACCUACCCAUUCUAAGG
This 171-nucleotide unclassified non-coding RNA is filed under the name Arthrobotrys megalospora. RNAcentral's name for it is "ITS2". Lineage: Eukaryota; Fungi; Ascomycota; Orbiliomycetes; Orbiliales; Orbiliaceae. The record is from RNAcentral.